This is a long non-coding RNA of Uranotaenia lowii, 486 nucleotides long. RefSeq lists it as uncharacterized. The transcript is spliced from 2 exons. The record is from RefSeq and is a predicted model, not a curated record. Lineage: Eukaryota; Metazoa; Arthropoda; Insecta; Diptera; Culicidae.
CUGUCGACAAACAAACACAAAAACAAAAACAACAAGAACUGUUCGUUUUUUGCGGUUCAUAGCCCAACUCCCGGACGCCGUACCAGCAGCAUCCUCUCCGGUUCGACGAACGGCAAUCAACGGCUGAGAUAACGACAAACCGGACUUACAGGAAAACGGACACCAACGAUGUUCGAACAGCAACAUAUUCGCUGGGGAAGAAAGGUCCUGCUUGGAGUAACCUUCCUGACUUCCGAAUUCAGCAGCUACGAAAACGUUCAGGUAGAUUCGGUGGUGAGGAGCACCUCAUACGAAUCUGGUAACUGGAAAUUCGAUCAUACAGUCUAAACAGACUGGUCCUGAAUUGGAACCCGCCGCUCCAGGAGGAUCCUUUUUUUUGCACCCAACCACUGCUAGCCGAGGAGAUGGUAAUUAUGUUCAUUAUUAUUAUGUAAAGUGUAAAGUGAAUAAAAGUAUAACAUAGAAGUUAAUAAAAUGAAAAUAAAA